CUUUUGGAAAUGAUUUGAAGAGGUGCGUCCGGAACGAGGGAAACUUACGACUUUUGCUAACGAUCGCGGCGUGCUGUGUAUCUCCUGUGCCAGUUCUGUCUCCCCAAGACCCCACCCCAAGAUGGGCCCCAUGGCCCACGUACCCGGCCCCCAGUUUCAGUAGGACGUGUCCUUAUCCCUGAGGUCCUCCAGAAAGGAACCCAACCCCAAUGGCCCGUGCUUCACACGCUCCUCCCCGCGCCGGUGGAGUAGGGGGCAGGAGAGACCUGCUGCCUCUGGCGCCAACCUUUCCAUUCAGUGCGUCUUUCCUGCCUAGCCCACGUUCCCGGGCCGGAGCUGACACGGGGGUGGGAGGAGCCGAGUGCUUGCUCGUCUUGGGCAGAGGCGAAAGCUUCUUAAGGUGGAACAGGAAUGUUGGGCUGCUGGGCCUCUACCGCUGGGAUGUGCCGGCCCCUGCUUCCCAACCUCGCCUCCCAGUUUUUCAUCUCUUGUUCCCUGGCUCCAGUCUAAUUUUUAGGGGAGUGGAAAUCAAACAGGCUGGGAAGAGGAUAGAAAAAUAACGUAGAAAAGCUGGGCGCGGUGGCUCACGCCUGUAAUCCCAGCACUUUGGGAGGCCAAGACGGGCGGAUCACGAGGUCAGGAGAUCGAGACCACCCUGGCUAACACGGUGAAAACCCGUCUCUACUAAAAAUACAAAAAAUUAGCCGGGCGUGGUGGCAGGCGCCUGUAGUCCCAGC
RNAcentral lists this long non-coding RNA (737 nucleotides) under Homo sapiens (human). RNAcentral's name for it is "non-protein coding lnc-FOXJ2-2:1". The record is from RNAcentral. Lineage: Eukaryota; Metazoa; Chordata; Mammalia; Primates; Hominidae.